This 571-nucleotide ribosomal RNA is filed under the name uncultured fungus. RNAcentral's name for it is "eukaryotic LSU rRNA". The stretch from base 209 to 362 matches the Rfam family "5.8S ribosomal RNA". The record is from RNAcentral. Lineage: Eukaryota; Fungi.
CUUGGUCAUUUAGAGGAAGUAAAAGUCGUAACAAGGUUUCCGUUGGUGAACCAGCGGAAGAAUCAUUACAGAGAUCAUGCCCUUCGGGGUAGACCUCCCACCCUGUGUUAUUUACGUAUGUUGCUUUGGCGGGCCCCCUCGAGGUGUGCCCGCCAGAGGACCCCCAACUCUGUGUUUAGUGUCGUCUGAGUACAAUCAAAUAAGUUAAAACUUUCAACAACGGAUCUCUUGGUUCUGGCAUCGAUGAAGAACGCAGCGAAAUGCGAUAAGUAAUGUGAAUUGCAGAAUUCAGUGAAUCAUCGAAUCUUUGAACGCACAUUGCGCCCCUGGGUAUUCCUGGGGGCAUGCCUGUUCGAGCGUCAUUUCAACCCUCAAGCUUAGCUUGGUCUUGGGCCAUGCCGGGAACGGCCGGCCUUAAAACUAGUGGCGGUGCCGCCGGGCCCUACGCGUAGUAAUUACUUCCUCGCGUUUGGGUCCCGGUGGACGCUGGCCAGCAACCCCAAAUUUUUCUGGUUGACCUCGGAUCAGGUAGGGAUACCCGCUGAACUUAAGCAUAUCAAUAAGCGGAGGA